RNAcentral lists this ribosomal RNA (435 nucleotides) under uncultured bacterium. RNAcentral describes it as "partial 16S ribosomal RNA". It matches the Rfam family "Bacterial small subunit ribosomal RNA", at positions 29 to 507 of the family's 1533-position model. The record is from RNAcentral.
AACGAACGCUGGCGGCAUGCCUAACACAUGCAAGUCGAACGAUUGCCUUCGGGUGAUAGUGGCGCACGGGUGCGUAACGCGUGGGAAUCUGCCCUUAGGUUCGGAAUAACAGCUGGAAACGGCUGCUAAUACCGGAUGAUAUCGCGAGAUCAAAGAUUUAUCGCCUGAGGAUGAGCCCGCGUUGGAUUAGGUAGUUGGUGGGGUAAAGGCCUACCAAGCCGACGAUCCAUAGCUGGUCUGAGAGGAUGAUCAGCCACACUGGGACUGAGACACGGCCCAGACUCCUACGGGAGGCAGCAGUGGGGAAUAUUGGACAAGGGGCGCAAGCCUGCUCCAGCAAUGCCGCGUGAGUGAUGAAGGCCCUAGGGUUGUAAAGCUCUUUUACCCGGGAAGAUAAUGACUGUACCGGGAGAAUAAGCCCCGGCUAACUCCGUG